ACUCAGCAGCAUGCGGGAGACCGGUGGCAGGCAGUGAUUCAUUGGUGCGCGGGGGACCGGUGAUGGCGACGCGAGGGACCGAUGAUGGCAAUGGCGACACAAGGGACCGAUGACGGCAACGGCGACGCGUGCGGGGGAGCUGCGACGGUAGCUUGCUGCACGGCGGCAGGUAUUUUCUUUUCUUUUUUAUUUUCUUUUGACGGUGCUCAUCACCGCCGAUUACACAUCCGACCGUGCAGGUCUCCAAACUAAUGGUGAUCUCCAAACUAAUGGUGAUGAAGGUUUUGGGAUCAAUGGUGAUGACCCAUCAUGUAAUAGUGAUUUAUGCUUGUACCUGGGCACAGGACACCUGUUCGGCUGUUCGCCGGGUUUGAUUAUGGAUGUUCACCACUUCCAAGCAUGAAGUACAUCGUAGUGAGCAAGGGCGAGGCCAUAUUUAAGUUCGGAAACGCGCCAUGGAACUUUGCUGUCGUGAGUGAAGUGGACAACAGUCGAUCAAUGCAAAGAGGAUCCUUUUCCUGCUUUGCCGUAUCUUUCUUGCCGAUGAUGCUACAGAACAUAACUGUAUCGCCGCUCAAUUUUGUUGUCUCCUAGUCAUCCUUGCACAUUAGUAUUGCCGUUUGCAUCCCCUUGUAACUUAUAAUUAAUCGCUGGCCACAUGAAUUGCCACAGUCACUUGGAAGCAGAUCCAAUACAGUUUUUUA
This 704-nucleotide long non-coding RNA is filed under the name Setaria italica (foxtail millet). Its description in RNAcentral is "long non-coding RNA (SITA_LNC006987)". Lineage: Eukaryota; Viridiplantae; Streptophyta; Magnoliopsida; Poales; Poaceae. The record is from RNAcentral.